UACGGGGGGGGCAAGCGUUGUUCGGAAUUACUGGGCGUAAAGGGCUCGUAGGCGGCCAACUAAGUCGGACGUGAAAUCCCUCGGCUCAACCGGGGAACUGCGUCCGAUACUGGAUGGCUUGAAUCCGGGAGAGGGAUGCGGAAUUCCAGGUGUAGCGGUGAAAUGCGUAGAUAUCGGGAGGAACACCUGUGGCGAAAGCGGCGCACUGGACCAUAACUGACGCUGAGGCGCGAAAGCUAGGGGAGCAAACAGG
RNAcentral lists this ribosomal RNA (253 nucleotides) under uncultured bacterium. Its description in RNAcentral is "partial 16S ribosomal RNA". It matches the Rfam family "Bacterial small subunit ribosomal RNA", at positions 524 to 776 of the family's 1533-position model. The record is from RNAcentral.